CCUACGGGAGGCAGCAGUGGGGAAUUUUGGACAAUGGGCGCAAGCCUGAUCCAGCAAUGCCGCGUGCAGGAUGAAGGCCUUCGGGUUGUAAACUGCUUUUGUACGGAACGAAACGGUGAGCUCUAAUACAGUUUGCUAAUGACGGUACCGUAAGAAUAAGCACCGGCUAACUACGUGCCAGCAGCCGCGGUAAUACGUAGGGUGCGAGCGUUAAUCGGGAUUACUGGGCGUAAAGCGUGCGCAGGCGGUGAUGUAAGGCAGAUGUGAAAUGCCCGGGCUCAACCUGGGACCUGCAUUUGUGACUGCAUCGCUAGAGUACGGUAGAGGGGGAUGGAAUUCCGCGUGUAGCAGUGAAAUGCGUAGAUAUGCGGAGGAACACCGAUGGCGAAGGCAAUCCCCUGGACCUGUACUGGCGCUCAUGCACGAAAGCGUGGGGAGCAAACAGGAUUAGAUACCCUGGUAGUCCACGCCCUAAACGAUGUCAACUGGUUGUUGGGUCUUCACUGACUCAGUAACGAAGCUAACGCGUGAAGUUGACCGCCUUGGGGGAGGUACGGCCGCGAGUUAGACGUUACGAAGGAAGUUAGACGGCGNGAGAGNGCGACGGACGACGACGAGGGAGGAGG
Molecule: ribosomal RNA, 626 nt
Filed under: uncultured bacterium
Lineage: Bacteria
Description: bacterial SSU rRNA
Rfam family: Bacterial small subunit ribosomal RNA (bases 1-542)
Source: RNAcentral